Stomoxys calcitrans (stable fly) is the source of this 1452-nucleotide long non-coding RNA. RefSeq lists it as uncharacterized. The record is from RefSeq and is a predicted model, not a curated record. NCBI's taxonomy places the organism in Eukaryota, Metazoa, Arthropoda, Insecta, Diptera, Muscidae. The transcript has 2 exons.
UUAAAAUCAAAAUUUCACGACAUUUUCUAUGGAAAUCAAAUAAAAUGCGAGACAAUUUUAUUCAAAAUUUCUAUAAAUUAAAAGGAAAAUUUCAUAUACUUUAACUUAUAAGGCAGAAAAAGAAGUAAGAAAACCAGAAAAAGCGUGCUAAGUUCGCCCGGGCCGAUGAGGACCAUACUUGGUUUGGAUGUUGGAGCAUUUAUUGCGAAAAAUUUCAGGGCUCAAGAAGUAAAAACGGGAGAUCGGUCUAUGUAAGAGCUAUAUGAGGUUAUGGAUUGUCCAUAACCAUACUUGGUUUGGAUGAUAAGCAGAAUCGCGAAAAAUUUCAUGGUAAUCCUUUAGGGGCUCAAUAAAUAUAAUCGGAUGAUCGGUCUAUAGUAACCCUAUAGGGGCUCAAGAAGUAAAAUCGGAACAUCGGUCUAUGUUAGAGCUAUAUCAGGUUAUGGAUUGUGAAUCCCAUGGCAGCCGAUUGUACGUACAGGAUUGACCCAAUGAAGUUCUUCAUCAACAUGGAUUGUUCACAGAUUCAGCCAAAUCAAACAAAAGUGCACCCAUUAGUGGCUCAAGAAGUGUAAUCGGGAGAAUCGGCUUUUUGGGGGAGGUAAAUCAUGUUUAAGACUGAUUCAGACCAUACUUGGCACGUAAGUUGGAAGUCAUAGUACAAAAUGUCAAUUUAUCCAAAUCACAUAAUAACUGAGGCUCAAGAAGUAAAAUCAGAAAAUCGGUUUUUAUGGCAGCUAUAUCAGGUUGUAGACUAAUUCAGGCCAUACUUACUGCGUAUAUUAGAGGUUAUAGAAAAAGUCAUUGUGCAAAAUUUCAGCCAGAUCAGACAAUAACAGCCAAAUCAGAUAAUAAUUGCACCCUUAAGAGGCACAAAAAGUCAAAAUUGGUGACCGGUUUAUAUAAGAGCUAUAUCAGGUUCUAGACCGAUUCAGACCAUACUUGGCAUGUAAGUUGGAGGUCAUGAAAGAAGACAUUAUGCAAAAUUUUAGCUAAAUGGGAUUAUAAUUGCCCUUUUUAUUGGUUUAAGUAUGCAAAUCUGGAGAUCGGUGUAUAUAUAGCAGCUACAUGAAACCAUGGGUCGAUUUUGCCCAUUUACAAUUCCAAUCGACCUGCUCCAGUAAGAAAUAUUUGUGCAAAGUUUCAAGCGCCUGGCUUUAGUCCCUCGAUACUUAGCGUGCGUUCGACAGACGGACCAGCGGACAUUAGCUAUUUCCUAUAGACUUAGAAUGUCAAGUCGAACAAGAAUAUUAAACUUUGUUGGAUCUCAGAGCAUUACUUCGAUGAGUUACAAACGAAAUGACGAUGUUAGUAUACCCUCACUCAAUGGUGGAGGGUAUGAAAAUGUCUUUAAAUUUUAAAUACCUAUGUGGAAUAGAAUACUCAAACAAAUACAUAUGUACAAGAGUAUUAAUAAUUUUAGCAUAAUAAAAUUUCAACUUCAUUAGUGAA